AAACAUAUCUGGGGGACAUUUCCUUGACAAAUCUUUGUUUCUCUCCCAGGCUUCAUAGAGGGUCUCCCCAUCUUGUUAUCUAAAAGUCUGGACCUCAGCUCUUAGUCU
Molecule: small nucleolar RNA, 108 nt
Organism: Arachis stenosperma
Lineage: Eukaryota; Viridiplantae; Streptophyta; Magnoliopsida; Fabales; Fabaceae
Source: RefSeq, a predicted model, not a curated record